UACGGAGGAUGCAAGCGUUAUCCGGAUUCAUUGGGUUUAAAGGGUGCGUAGGUGGGUUUGUAAGUCAGUGGUGAAAUAUUGUCGCUUAACGAUAAGGUUGCCAUUGAUACUGCAGGUCUUGAGUUUGGUUGAGGUAGGCGGAAUGUGCAGUGUAGCGGUGAAAUGCAUAGAGAUUGCACAGAACUCCGAUCGCGAAGGCAGCUUACUAAGCCAAAACUGACGCUGAGGCACGAAAGCGUGGGGAUCGAACAGGAUUAGA
Molecule: ribosomal RNA, 259 nt
Filed under: uncultured prokaryote
Description: partial 16S ribosomal RNA
Rfam family: Bacterial small subunit ribosomal RNA
Source: RNAcentral